Molecule: ribosomal RNA, 305 nt
Filed under: uncultured bacterium
Lineage: Bacteria
Description: bacterial SSU rRNA
Rfam family: Bacterial small subunit ribosomal RNA
Source: RNAcentral
GUAUCCUACGGGACGCAGCAGUGAGGAAUAUUGGUCAAUGGGCGGGAGCCUGAACCAGCCAAGUCGCGUGAAGGAAGAAGGUACUUAGUAUUGUAAACUUCUUUUGUCGGGGAACAAAGGCGGAGACGCGUCUCCGGAUGAGUGUACCCGAAGAAAAAGCAUCGGCUAACUCCGUGCCAGCAGCCGCGGUAAUACGGAGGAUGCGAGCGUUAUCCGGAUUUAUUGGGUUUAAAGGGUGCGCAGGCGGGAGUUCAAGUCAGCGGGAAAAUGUCGGGGCUCAAACCGCGCCGGCCGGUGAAACUGGG